Molecule: ribosomal RNA, 447 nt
Filed under: uncultured bacterium
Lineage: Bacteria
Description: bacterial SSU rRNA
Rfam family: Bacterial small subunit ribosomal RNA
Source: RNAcentral
UGGGGAAUAUUGGGCAAUGGGCGAAAGCCUGACCCAGCAACGCCGCGUGAAGGAUGAAGUAUUUCGGUAUGUAAACUUCGAAAGAAUGGGAAGAAUAAAUGACGGUACCAUUUAUAAGCUCCGGCUAACUACGUGCCAGCAGCCGCGGUAAUACGUAGGGAGCAAGCGUUGUUCGGAUUUACUGGGCGUAAAGGGCGCGUAGGCGGCGCGGUAAGUCACUUGUGAAAUCUCCGAGCUUAACUCGGAACGGUCAACUGAUACUGUCAAACUAGAGUACAGAAGGGGCAAUCGGAAUUCUUGGUGUAGCGGUGAAAUGCGUAGAUAUCAAGAGGAACACCUGAGGCGAAGGCGGGUUGCUGGGCUGAUACUGACGCUGAAGCGCGAAAGCUAGGGUAGCAAACGGGAUUAGAUACCCACGUAGUCCCUGAGCGGGCUGGCAAGGCGCAU